CUCUGACCUUUCAUCAAACCAAACGAAGGCUUACAAAUUUGUCACGAGGGCUUCUUUUCUCUUAGGGCAAUUCUCAUCGCUCGGUGAGAAAGGAAUAAGGAGAUUUGUUCUACUGUUUUAGGAUUAAUGCUCUCCAACAAAUGGUCUCUGAGGACUAGCACUAUAGCAUUAUUGAUUAAGAAAUGCAGAGAACAAGAUGGAGAGGUAAGAGGAGGAAGUCUUUCCAUA
This 228-nucleotide unclassified non-coding RNA is filed under the name Hevea brasiliensis (rubber tree). The record is from RNAcentral. Lineage: Eukaryota; Viridiplantae; Streptophyta; Magnoliopsida; Malpighiales; Euphorbiaceae.